AUGGGGAUAAGAAUGCUGAAGAAACCCAGCUUCUUCCUGUUAUCAGUCUUCCUGCUGCGCAUGCCAGGCUAUGUAGACGGAGGUGAUUCAGUGUCCCAGACCCCUGUGCUGUGGAAACAUCAGGACGACAACGCCACGUUGGAGUGCAGUCACACGAAGGGUGGUACAUAUCGACAGAUGUACUGGUACCAGCAGCUGCCUGGUCAGACCAUGAAACAAAUAGUUUUCACCACAGCAUACAGCGCUCACCAGUAUGAACAAGGCUUCAGUGAGGAGAAAUUUCCAUCUGAGAAGAAGGUUGCAGAGAAUGGAUCUCUGACAGUGAAGAAGCUGCAGCCUGCAGACAGCGGAGUGUAUUUCUGCGCUGUGAGUGAACACAGUGAUGCAGCUGAUUAA
This is a non-coding RNA of Fundulus heteroclitus (mummichog), 396 nucleotides long. The record is from the annotation of a RefSeq genome assembly. Lineage: Eukaryota; Metazoa; Chordata; Actinopteri; Cyprinodontiformes; Fundulidae.